Molecule: ribosomal RNA, 534 nt
Filed under: uncultured Bacillota bacterium
Lineage: Bacteria; Bacillati; Bacillota
Description: bacterial SSU rRNA
Rfam family: Bacterial small subunit ribosomal RNA
Source: RNAcentral
AGAGUUUGAUCAUGGCUCAGGACGAACGCUGGCGGCGUGCCUAAUACAUGCAAGUCGAGCGGAGUUGAUGAGGUGCUUGCACCUCUGAUACUUAGCGGCGGACGGGUGAGUAACACGUAGGUAACCUGCCUGUAAGACCGGGAUAACAUUCGGAAACGAAUGCUAAUACCGGAUACGCGAUUUCCUCGCAUGGGGAGAUCGGGAAAGACGGAGCAAUCUGUCACUUACAGAUGGACCUGCGGCGCAUUAGCUAGUUGGUGGGGUAACGGCUCACCAAGGCGACGAUGCGUAGCCGACCUGAGAGGGUGAUCGGCCACACUGGGACUGAGACACGGCCCAGACUCCUACGGGAGGCAGCAGUAGGGAAUCUUCCGCAAUGGACGAAAGUCUGACGGAGCAACGCCGCGUGAGUGAUGAAGGCUUUCGGGUCGUAAAGCUCUGUUGCCAGGGAAGAACACUUAGGAGAGUAACUGCUCUUAAGGUGACGGUACCUGAGAAGAAAGCCCGGCUUACUACGUGCCAGCAGCCGCGGUA